GUUCCUUAUAAAAGGACAAGUUCAACCUCCUCUCUCUCACUUUCUCUUUCUCUCUCUGUCUCUCCCUUCACCUGUCUUUUCCCUGUUCCAUGGGAUGACACAGCAAAAAGACCCCUGCCAGAUGUUAGCCCCUUGAUUUUGGACCUCUCAGCCUUCAGAACUCUUCUCAUCACCCCGGGGUCCUGAAAUCUAGAACUGGCUUCAGAAGCAGGGAUGAUGGAGUCUUGCUCUGUCGCCAGGCUGGAGUGCAAUGGUGCAAUCUUGGCUCACUGCAACCUCCGCCUCCCCAGUUCAAGCAAUUCUUCUGCCUCAGCCUCCCGAGUAGCUGAGACUACAGUGGACCAGAGGAGAAGAUAUGGAUGAACUCCUUGGACCCACCCUGUUCCCAGCUCAUCUGGGAGAAUGAAGCUAAUUGGUAAAUCCACUGUUUGAUGCUUGUAAUGAAGACUCAAGGAGUUCUGUCUCUACCAAGUUCCUUGCCCUUAAUGACUCAAGAAUUAAUUUUAUCUUUUCCUCUCAAAACCUUGAAAGAAAUGCUUGAGUCCUUGUAACCUGUAAAAUAAAUGUUGUUACUGAAGGGAAAA
RNAcentral lists this long non-coding RNA (584 nucleotides) under Homo sapiens (human). RNAcentral describes it as "HSALNT0360362". The record is from RNAcentral. Lineage: Eukaryota; Metazoa; Chordata; Mammalia; Primates; Hominidae.